UUACGGCCAUAUCACGUUAAAACAUCGGUUCCCGUCAGAUCUCUCAAGUUAAACAAUAUCGAGCCUGGUAAAUAAUUAGAUGAGUGAUCACCUGGGAAUACCAGGUG
Non-coding RNA from Acanthosepion pharaonis, 107 nucleotides. The record is from the annotation of a GenBank genome assembly. NCBI's taxonomy places the organism in Eukaryota, Metazoa, Mollusca, Cephalopoda, Sepiida, Sepiidae.